This 79-nucleotide small nucleolar RNA is filed under the name Oryza sativa Indica Group (long-grained rice). Its description in RNAcentral is "Small nucleolar RNA SNORD27". Lineage: Eukaryota; Viridiplantae; Streptophyta; Magnoliopsida; Poales; Poaceae. The record is from RNAcentral.
GGCCGAUGAUUAGAUUAAAAUAUAGACAAGCAUAUGUCUGAAUUUUCAUGUGGAAAAGCCUAAUCUUCUCUAUGAGGUC